AGGGUUUGAUUAUGGCUCAGAUUGAACGCUGGCGGCAUGCUUUACACAUGCAAGUCGAACGGCAGCACAGGGAGCUUGCUCCCGGGUGGCGAGUGGCGCACGGGUGAGUAAUACAUCGGAACGUGUCCUGUUGUGGGGGAUAACUGCUCGAAAGGGUGGCUAAUACCGCAUGAGACCUGAGGGUGAAAGCGGGGGAUCGCAAGACCUCGCGCAAUUGGAGCGGCCGAUGCCCGAUUAGCUAGUUGGUGAGGUAAAGGCUCACCAAGGCGACGAUCGGUAGCUGGUCUGAGAGGACGACCAGCCACACUGGGACUGAGACACGGCCCAG
Molecule: ribosomal RNA, 328 nt
Filed under: uncultured bacterium
Lineage: Bacteria
Description: bacterial SSU rRNA
Rfam family: Bacterial small subunit ribosomal RNA
Source: RNAcentral